RNAcentral lists this long non-coding RNA (966 nucleotides) under Rattus norvegicus (Norway rat). RNAcentral describes it as "long non-coding RNA NONRATT002777". The record is from RNAcentral. Lineage: Eukaryota; Metazoa; Chordata; Mammalia; Rodentia; Muridae.
UUUUCCUCAUUGCGGAACUGUGCCUCCUCGGGGGACAGAUGCCUUUAGAUGCAACUGCUUCAAGGACCCCAAAGGCCAUUCCCACAAUAUAAGCAAUGACUUCUUUUUCCUUUUUAGUCAUGCUAAGUAGUUAGACAAUCCUUGAACUUGGGAUUCUCUGGUUCUGGUGUAAGAGCCAAUUAUGUUUUAACUACUCAUUGGGAAGAGCUGAGGGUUUCCAGUGUGUGUCCUAAAGAGAGGCUGAGGCUUGCCAAUGUGUUCCAUAAGAGAACCCAGUUGUAAAUUGGGGAUGCUAGCUGUUUUGGAAAUGUUCAUACCAUGUGAUUGUCAUUGGAAAUACCAGCCACAGUUAAAUGGAGCCAGCUGGGACCUAAAAGGCAGGCCCUGUGUGUCACCAAAGGUGGGUCCAGAGAGGUGACCCAAGUCUCCUGGGAAAGCCCCAAAGGAUUGUGGGUGAAUCCCAGACAUUGAGCAUUAAACUGCUUAUACCGUGGAGUUUGGUUUUGCCUUGAUUGUGCCCCAUUUUUCCCUGUUGAAAUUUUUUUUAAAGUACUUUAUUGAUUUUGCCAGAGCACACAGUUGAGAGAUUUUUAAACUUUAAGAGGAAAUUUUGGAGUUUUAUAGAAAGUUUAAAUGUAAAAAAAAAAAAAAAAACUGGAUUUUUUUUAAAUGAACAGCUUUUUAAAGUAUUUAAAUUUAUAAAGCUAUGGGACCUUGUAAGUUUAUAAAAUGUUUAUAUUAUUAAUAUGUGACCUUAAGAUAUAAAUAAAAGGCCUAAGAGUUAGUGCUAAACACUGAAUGCCAGAAACUAGGCUAUUCCUAUCUUGGGAAACAGCAAGGCAGUGACCUAAUCAGUCAGGCAAAGCCUAUCUACCAGAGAGAUGGGAGCCAUAUGUGCUUGUGCGAUGUGGGUCAUGUGUGCGUCACAAUCCAGAACAGUGGCAACAUGGCAGUUGUGGAGCAACA